This 72-nucleotide transfer RNA is filed under the name Camelus bactrianus (Bactrian camel). It matches the Rfam family "tRNA". From Rfam's summary of the family: Transfer RNA (tRNA) molecules are approximately 80 nucleotides in length. Their secondary structure includes four short double-helical elements and three loops (D, anti-codon, and T loops). Further hydrogen bonds mediate the characteristic L-shaped molecular structure. tRNAs have two regions of fundamental functional importance: the anti-codon, which is responsible for specific mRNA codon recognition, and the 3' end, to which the tRNAs corresponding amino acid is attached (by aminoacyl-tRNA synthetases). tRNAs cope with the degeneracy of the genetic code in two manners: having more than one tRNA (with a specific anti-codon) for a particular amino acid; and 'wobble' base-pairing, i.e. permitting non-standard base-pairing at the 3rd anti-codon position. Lineage: Eukaryota; Metazoa; Chordata; Mammalia; Artiodactyla; Camelidae. The record is from Rfam by way of RNAcentral. RNAcentral also lists the same sequence under 2 other names.
GAGGGUGUAGCUCAGAGUUUGAGCACGUGCUUAGCAUGCACAAGGUCCUGGGUUCAAUCCCCAGCACUUCCA